Molecule: ribosomal RNA, 465 nt
Filed under: Vreelandella stevensii
Lineage: Bacteria; Pseudomonadati; Pseudomonadota; Gammaproteobacteria; Oceanospirillales; Halomonadaceae
Description: partial 16S ribosomal RNA
Rfam family: Bacterial small subunit ribosomal RNA
Source: RNAcentral
CCUACGGGCGGCUGCAGUGGGGAAUAUUGGACAAUGGGGGCAACCCUGAUCCAGCCAUGCCGCGUGUGUGAAGAAGGCCCUCGGGUUGUAAAGCACUUUCAGUGAGGAAGAACGCCUGGUGGUUAAUACCCAUCAGGAAAGACAUCACUCACAGAAGAAGCACCGGCUAACUCCGUGCCAGCAGCCGCGGUAAUACGGAGGGUGCGAGCGUUAAUCGGAAUUACUGGGCGUAAAGCGCGCGUAGGUGGCUUGAUAAGCCGGUUGUGAAAGCCCCGAGCUCAACCUGGGAACGGCAUCCGGAACUGUCAAGCUAGAGUGCAGGAGAGGAAGGUAGAAUUCCCGGUGUAGCGGUGAAAUGCGUAGAGAUCGGGAGGAAUACCAGUGGCGAAGGCGGCCUUCUGGACUGACACUGACACUGAGGUGCGAAAGCGUGGGUAGCAAACAGGAUUAGAUACCCCGGUAGUC